RNAcentral lists this long non-coding RNA (535 nucleotides) under Physcomitrium patens. Its description in RNAcentral is "long non-coding RNA (PPAT_LNC007753)". The record is from RNAcentral. Lineage: Eukaryota; Viridiplantae; Streptophyta; Bryopsida; Funariales; Funariaceae.
AUAAUGUUGAAUAAGCUUUAAUCAAAUUCAGAGAAACCUCAAAGGAAUUCCAAAGAAGCAAUAAGAAAUCUUAAAAAAAUAUUAGAAUGAUUAUAAACAUAUCUCAAAUACAUCUCAAUUUAAUCUUAAUUUAAUUCUAGUUGAAAUCUUAUUGGACUUCAUUCAAACUUUAGGCCAAAAACUAACUAAAUCUUAAAUCUUAAAAAAAUUCAAAUAAAACCCUAAAUCCUAAUUUCUAAAAAAACUCAAAUAAAACCCUAAAUUCUAAAUCAAAUCCUGAUCUAAUCCUAACCAAAUCUUAAACCCUAAACCAAAUCUUUAUUCCUAAAUCAAAUCCUAAAUCCUAAAUCAAACCCUAACCAAAUCCUAAUCUUAAAUCAAAUCCUAACUAAAUUCUAAAUCCUAAAUCCUAAGCCAAAUCCUAAUCUUAAAUCAAAUUAUAACCAAAUCCUAACCAAACCCUAACCCUAAAUCAAACCCUAACCAAAGCCUAAUCCUAAAUCAAAUCCUAACUAAAUCCUAGUAAUUUCUACAA